RNAcentral lists this ribosomal RNA (600 nucleotides) under bacterium enrichment culture clone F61x_D37_T3_E05. RNAcentral describes it as "bacterial SSU rRNA". It matches the Rfam family "Bacterial small subunit ribosomal RNA", at positions 311 to 904 of the family's 1533-position model. The record is from RNAcentral.
CACUGGAACUGAGACACGGUCCAGACUCCUACGGGAGGCAGCAGUGGGGAAUUUUGGACAAUGGGCGCAAGCCUGAUCCAGCAAUGCCGCGUGAGUGAAGAAGGCCUUCGGGUUGUAAAGCUCUUUUGUCAGGGAAGAAACGGUGAGGGCUAAUAUCCCUUGCUAAUGACGGUACCUGAAGAAUAAGCACCGGCUAACUACGUGCCAGCAGCCGCGGUAAUACGUAGGGUGCAAGCGUUAAUCGGAAUUACUGGGCGUAAAGCGUGCGCAGGCGGUUUUGUAAGUCUGUCGUGAAAUCCCCGGGCUCAACCUGGGAAUUGCGAUGGAGACUGCAAGGCUAGAAUCUGGCAGAGGGGGGUAGAAUUCCACGUGUAGCAGUGAAAUGCGUAGAGAUGUGGAGGAACACCGAUGGCGAAGGCAGCCCCCUGGGUCAAGAUUGACGCUCAUGCACGAAAGCGUGGGGAGCAAACAGGAUUAGAUACCCUGGUAGUCCACGCCCUAAACGAUGUCUACUAGUUGUCGGGUUUUAAUUAACUUGGUAACGCAGCUAACGCGUGAAGUAGACCGCCUGGGGAGUACGGUCGCAAGAUUAAAACUCAA